UGACCCUGUGGAGAGAGAAGCCCACACUGGGGUUGGUUUUCUGGCAGGACUUGUGGCCCCACAGGGACCCCAUGUAUGUCCAGCCUGUUCCUGAAGGACUGCAGCCCUUGGGAAGGAGCCACAAGGGAACGGUUUGUGAAGAACUGCAGCCUGUGGGGAGCACUCACGUUGGAGAAGACUGCGGAGGGCUGUCUCCAAUGGAAGGGUACCCGCGCUGGAACAGGGAGAGUGUGAGGAGGGCAUGGCGGAGAUGUGAUAAACUCAUUUCAGAUGCCAUUUCCUGUCCCCCUGCACCUGCUGGAGCAGAGUAGUUUGAGCAAAUUGUGGCUGAAGGUGAGUCUGGAAACAAAGAAGGGAUAUGGGGAACAUGUUCUAAGGUUUGUUUUCUUUCUCAUUAUCCUACACUGAUUUGAUUGGCAAUAAAUCAAACCAAUAUCCCCAAACCGAGUCUAUUUUGCCCAUGACCGUGAUCAGUUUGUGAUUUCUCCCUGUCCUUAUCCUAAUCCAUGAACCGUUACCUAUGUUUUCUUUCCCUUGUCCAGGUGAGGAGUGGCUUUAGUGUGAAAGAGUGUCCUGGCCUCCAGGCAUGGUCAACCCAAAACAGAAUUGUUGGUUGGGAAAUAAGUGUUUGGUUUGCAUUUCUCAACAUCCAGAACCACCCCUGAAGAAAAUAGGGCAGCAGCCUUGCAGGUAGGAAAGACCUGUCCUGGAGGGGAAACAAAUAUAGCCACCAUAUAUUUUUAUUUAGAAACAACUGUGAGUAAAGCAGAUUUUUACAUUGAGACACUUAUUAAUGUUUAACAGAUUUUUGCAUGUUGUGAUAUUCCUUCUUAUAGCUUCAUGCAGGCAGUAAGGUCUGUACUCAUCAGUUAGAUCUUGAACAGACACAAUCUGGAGGUCUAAACCAGACAACAGAGAUCAAAUCCAAAACUCCUUCCAAAUUCAAAAGAAGGGGGCUUUAAAAUAGAGCAAUUUUCCCAAUAGCUCAGCAGACUGAGGACUAGAGAUGCUGCUGUGUUUUGGAGCUGAAGAAUCAGCUUCCAGCGUUACCAAUGCAAUUACCACAAUUUCCAAACAGCAGCUACAACAGCAGUACAACAAAGAAUUGUAUCUGUUGUAUACAACCUUAAAAUUGAGAAUUUGCUUUGUUGGAGAGGUAAAAAAAUCUCUUAAAAUGAGACUACAAAAGAUCAUCCUAAUUUCUAUCUAAUCCUGCUCCUGCUGCUUCCUCUUAUCAUAUCACAUUGCCUUUUGGAGAGCAGCAAGGGCCCCUUGCCCCCUUCCCUUCCCUUGUCCUGUGCCUCCAUAGGCUUAGCCACCACUGUGGGAGUUUCACAGGUUCUCCAGCCAAUGCUUUCCAACCCUUGUGUUAUAAGCAGGAGGCACAUAGAAAAGCUUCCCAUGUUAAAUACAUAUUUAGGAACCAUUUUGAGCCAUUGUAAGGGAGCAGAUUGAGGUGGGCAAAACAUGUGGGGGAUGUGAGGAGGGUAAAUGCCAUUUGACUGUACAGCUGAAAAAUGAUUGUUUAUUUCUGAAGGGGGUGGGCUUGAUAAUAGCAGUCACUUUUAUCUGUGUCUGCAAUGCAGAAGUUUCUCUGUGCUAAUCUUGGCACUGACAUUGAAAUUGAUGUGUGGCCUUUAGGUAAGUCACUUAAUCAAUGUGUUUGUAAAAUGAGGAUAAUAACAUUUAUUUGCCUGCCUGAAAUGGAUGUAGUAAGGACAGACUGGUUAGUGCUGUGAAAUGCUAUUUACCAGUAAUUGCAAGUAUUAUUAUGCUGUGGACUUAAACCCCUCCUUGACUGGUAAUUGAAAUGGCUGAAAAACCAAAUAAAAGUCUGAAAUGUACAGGUGACAGUGGUUUCAGCUAAGGUGGGGCUGGUUAACCUGCUUCCUUUUCAUGAAGCUAAUUAUGCUUUAGCUGAGGCAAUAUACAUCAAAAAAUGUUUUGAGCAUGUACCUGCUCUUACUUAGAAAUAGAAUGAGAGGAAAUAUUGUGGGAUUCAUAUUUGAAUCACUGGGUAAUGUACCAUUGAUAAUGGGUCAAGGGAGAAGCUGGGUGUAACACAGAAAAAUCUGUGUUCAAGGCUCUGUUCUGGGAUGCAGGAGCACUCAGGUGUCCUGAGAGCAGGAUGAGCAGUGCAGAUAAGACAGAAUUAGAUGCAUCAUUACCAUUUUCAACCCAAUUAACAUCCCUGCUCUUCAGGAUUAAAUAAGGUCUGUAACUUGCCUUUUGGUAUGGCAGGCUGAAAAAAAAUAAGUCCUGAGGCUGAGAAGAAUGAAUAAUGCUGUAGAGCAGUAUGAAGUAGAUUAGGAAAUGAAUUACAGUAAACUGUCUUAUCUGUGAGCUGGGCUUUGAGAACUCUCCUGAGGCCUCAGACUGCCCCCUUUAUCCCACAGAUGUUUCUCUGAGAAGAGAGGAACAUAAGAUGACUGCCUGGGGUGGCUAAAGAACCAGGUCCUACAAAAAAAUUAUUUUUGCCAUCUGUAAUACUGCAAAGAAUCAUCCUGUUACAAAUAAUCAUGUUAGGCUGAUGCAGUAGUUAAACCUAGGCUAAGGUUUCUCUACCAACUAAUAAAGGAGUUAUUUUAUCCCUCCUUAUGUUGAGUGAAAGCUCACCAGCAGGGUAAGUGCCUCUGACUUGACUAGAACUUGGGGGAAUAACUGCUUCAGGAAUGUUAUAGAGAUCUCAUAUCAUCAUCUCCUUACUAUUUUCAUGGUGAACUUUGAAAUUUAUUAAGGAAGCAGGGACUCAGACUGCAAUAUUUCCAAGAAUACACCAAGAGUUACGAAAAAAUAAGUGGUGGAAUUGUAACUGAGGAAUAACUUACAUUGCC
Zonotrichia albicollis (white-throated sparrow) is the source of this 2834-nucleotide non-coding RNA. NCBI's taxonomy places the organism in Eukaryota, Metazoa, Chordata, Aves, Passeriformes, Passerellidae. The record is from RefSeq and is a predicted model, not a curated record.